GGAAUAUUGGACAAUGGGCGAAAGCCUGAUCCAGCCAUGCCGCGUGUGUGAAGAAGGUCUUCGGAUUGUAAAGCACUCUAAGUUGGGAGGAAGGGCAGUAAAUUAAUACUUUGCUGUUUUGACGUUACCGACAGAAUAAGCACCGGCUAACUCUGUGCCAGCAGCCGCGGUAAUACAGAGGGUGCAAGCGUUAAUCGGAAUUACUGGGCGUAAAGCGCGCGUAGGUGGUUUGUUAAGUUGGAUGUGAAAUCCCCGGGCUCAACCUGGGAACUGCAUCCAAAACUGGCAAGCUAGAGUAUGGUAGAGGGUGGUGGAAUUUCCUGUGUAGCGGUGAAAUGCGUAGAUAUAGGAAGGAACACCAGUGGCGAAGGCGACCACCUGGACUAAUACUGACACUGAGGUGCGAAAGCGUGGGGAGCAAACA
This 424-nucleotide ribosomal RNA is filed under the name uncultured bacterium. RNAcentral describes it as "bacterial SSU rRNA". It matches the Rfam family "Bacterial small subunit ribosomal RNA", at positions 358 to 774 of the family's 1533-position model. The record is from RNAcentral.